AACGAACGCUGGCGGCAUGCCUAAUAUAUGCAAGUCGAACGAGAUCUUCGGAUCUAGUGGCGCACGGGUGCGUAACGCGUGGGAAUCUGCCCUUGGGUUCGGAAUAACAUCUGGAAACGGAUGCUAAUACCGGAUGAUGACGUAAGUCCAAAGAUUUAUCGCCCAAGGAUGAGCCCGCGUAGGAUUAGCUAGUUGGUGAGGUAAAGGCUCACCAAGGCUACGAUCCUUAGCUGGUCUGAGAGGAUGAUCAGCCACACUGGGACUGAGACACGGCCCAGACUCCUACGGGAGGCAGCAGUAGGGAAUAUUGGACAAUGGGGGCAACCCUGAUCCAGCAAUGCCGCGUGAGUGAUGAAGGCCUUAGGGUUGUAAAGCUCUUUCGGCCGGGAAGAAAUCGCAUGGGUUAAUACCCUGUGCGGAUGACGGUACCGGCAUAAGAAGCACCGGCUAACUACGUGCCAGCAGCCGCGGUAAGAGUGUGUGUACC
RNAcentral lists this ribosomal RNA (487 nucleotides) under uncultured bacterium. Its description in RNAcentral is "bacterial SSU rRNA". It matches the Rfam family "Bacterial small subunit ribosomal RNA", at positions 29 to 536 of the family's 1533-position model. The record is from RNAcentral.